RNAcentral lists this ribosomal RNA (646 nucleotides) under Cibotopteryx variegata. Its description in RNAcentral is "eukaryotic LSU rRNA". The stretch from base 440 to 646 matches the Rfam family "Eukaryotic large subunit ribosomal RNA", at positions 665 to 825 of the family's 3401-position model. The record is from RNAcentral. Lineage: Eukaryota; Metazoa; Arthropoda; Insecta; Orthoptera; Romaleidae.
GAUGGGGCCGGCCGCCCGCGCGGAGCAAUCCGCAGCGGGGUCGUGUCCGGUUGCCUUUCCACUCGCCGUGGGGCGGAGCCGUUCCAGUGUGCGGUGGGCCGCACUUCUCCCCUAGUAGGACGUCGCGACCCGCUGGGUGCUGGCCUACGGCCCGGGUGCGCAGCCUGUCCUUCCGCGGAUCUCGGUUCGCGCCUGUUGGGCAGAGCCCCGGUGUCCUGGCUGGCUGCUCGGCGGUAUAUCUUGAGGAGUCGAUUCGCCAAACUCGCUUUGGGCGCCCGUGCUCCUGGCAAGCGUGUGCGGUUCUUCCCGGGUGACGGUCCUACCUGGCCCGGCCCCGGACCCGCGCCGCUGUUGGCUUGGGAUGCUCUCGGGCGGAAUAAUCGCUCCCGUCAGCGGCGCUUCAGCUUUGGACAAUUUCACGACCCGUCUUGAAACACGGACCAAGGAGUCUAACAUGUGCGCGAGUCAUUGGGCUGUACGAAACCUAAAGGCGUAAUGAAAGUGAAGGUCUCGCCUUGCGCGGGCCGAGGGAGGAUGGGGUUGCCGCUUGCCUCCGGGUGGCGGUUGCCUCCGCACUCCCGGGGCGUCUCGUCCUCAUUGCGAGGUGAGGCGCACCUAGAGCGUACACGUUGGGACCCGAAAGAUG